UAAGAUGGCUGAGUGUUAAGCGGUGGAUUGUACACCCAUGGACGGGGGUUUAAGUCCCCCUUUUAC
This 66-nucleotide transfer RNA is filed under the name Cnesterodon decemmaculatus. Its description in RNAcentral is "tRNA-Tyr". It matches the Rfam family "tRNA". From Rfam's summary of the family: Transfer RNA (tRNA) molecules are approximately 80 nucleotides in length. Their secondary structure includes four short double-helical elements and three loops (D, anti-codon, and T loops). Lineage: Eukaryota; Metazoa; Chordata; Actinopteri; Cyprinodontiformes; Poeciliidae. The record is from RNAcentral.